RNAcentral lists this small RNA (504 nucleotides) under Rattus norvegicus (Norway rat). RNAcentral's name for it is "uncharacterized LOC102548721". Lineage: Eukaryota; Metazoa; Chordata; Mammalia; Rodentia; Muridae. The record is from RNAcentral.
CCGAGGCAUGACAAAACGGAAGUAAGCCCUGGAACACCCUAAACUGCCAGAAAGGGAGACAGACUUUUUCCAAAGUGCCCACCGGAAGACAAAAGAGAGCUUGGCAGUACACUUCCGGUCAAAUCUGUGUCUCCUCUCCCAGACCCUCUGAAAGAAGAGUACCAUGGUCCACGCUACGUACGAUCUCGGUGCGGGUAGAGGCAGGUGGAUCCCCGGCAGGCCCAUCCAUCUGAUUUGCUGUCAUACAGAUACUCCAACAAAGGCUACUUAGGGGAGAAAGGGAAAGUUCCAGAAUUCAGUACAACAUCGUGUUGGGGAAGUCAAGGCAGAAGGGACCUGAAGGUGCUCACGACACAGCCACAAUCAGAAACUGGGCUGGGAGCUGAGGCUCUGGAGUUCUGGGACAUUUUUUUCCACAAGCCCAAAGCUUGUAAUAAAGGUGAUAAAAUAAAACCAAAGACCUACCCAGCAAAAGAGACCGGCAGAUUUAGUUUUCUUUUUCUC